RNAcentral lists this ribosomal RNA (482 nucleotides) under uncultured Methanosaeta sp. RNAcentral's name for it is "bacterial SSU rRNA". It matches the Rfam family "Archaeal small subunit ribosomal RNA", at positions 856 to 1338 of the family's 1478-position model. Lineage: Archaea; Methanobacteriati; Methanobacteriota; Methanomicrobia; Methanotrichales; Methanotrichaceae. The record is from RNAcentral.
UUAAAGGAAUUGACGGGGAGCACCACAACGGGUGGAGCUUGCGGUUUAAUUGGUAUUCAACGCCGGAAAUCUUACCGGGACCGACAGCAAUAUGAAGGCCAGGCUGAAGACUUUGCCGGAUUAGCUGAGAGGUGGUGCAUGGCCGUCGUCAGUUCGUACUGUGAAGCAUCCUGUUAAGUCAGGCAACGAGCGAGACCCACGCCCACAGUUGCCAGCGUACUCUCUGGAGUGACGGGUACACUGUGGGACCGCCGCUGCUAAAGCGGAGGAAGGAAUGGGCAACGGUAGGUCAGUAUGCCCCGAAUAUCCCGGGCUACACGCGAGCUACAAUGGUUGGUACAAUGGGUAUCUACCCCGAAAGGGGACGGGAAUCUCCUAAAACCAAUCUUAGUUCGGAUUGAGGGCUGCAACUCGCCCUCAUGAAGCUGGAAUCCGUAGUAAUCGCGUUUCAACAGAACGCGGUGAAUACGUCCCUGCUCCUU